UACGGAGGGGGCUAGCGUUGUUCGGAAUUACUGGGCGUAAAGCGCGCGCAGGCGGCCUUUUAAGUCUCGUGGUGAAAUGCCGGGGCUCAACCCCGUGCCCGCCGGAGAUACUGGGAGGCUGGAGACAUGUAGAGGCAAGCGGAAUUCCAGGUGUAGCGGUGGAAUGCGUAGAGAUCCGGAAGAACACCGGAGGCGAAGGCGGCUUGCUGGGCAUUGUCUGACGCUGAGGCGCGAAAGCGUGGGGAGCGAACAGG
Molecule: ribosomal RNA, 254 nt
Filed under: uncultured bacterium
Lineage: Bacteria
Description: partial 16S ribosomal RNA
Rfam family: Bacterial small subunit ribosomal RNA
Source: RNAcentral